RNAcentral lists this unclassified non-coding RNA (171 nucleotides) under Cladophialophora chaetospira. RNAcentral's name for it is "partial internal transcribed spacer 2". The record is from RNAcentral. Lineage: Eukaryota; Fungi; Ascomycota; Eurotiomycetes; Chaetothyriales; Herpotrichiellaceae.
UCACCCCUCAAGCCCUGUGCUUGGUGUUGGACGGCCGGUCGAGCGAUCGACCCCUCCUAAAGACAAUGACGGCGGCCUGUGGUUCCCCCGGUACACUGAGCUUUUCACCGAGCACGUAUCGGACAAGGGCACCCGGGACCCGGUCCUCUCCUUUAACUAGGAAACUUCUAA